GCGCGAGUGGUGUAAUCGGUAGCCACACGGCCCUUAAAAGGCUGUGCCCGCAAGGGCGUGCGGGUUCGAGUCCCGCCUCGCGCA
RNAcentral lists this transfer RNA (84 nucleotides) under Deltaproteobacteria bacterium. Its description in RNAcentral is "tRNA-Leu". It matches the Rfam family "tRNA". From Rfam's summary of the family: Transfer RNA (tRNA) molecules are approximately 80 nucleotides in length. Their secondary structure includes four short double-helical elements and three loops (D, anti-codon, and T loops). The record is from RNAcentral. Lineage: Bacteria; Pseudomonadati; Myxococcota; Myxococcia.